This 479-nucleotide ribosomal RNA is filed under the name uncultured bacterium. RNAcentral describes it as "bacterial SSU rRNA". It matches the Rfam family "Bacterial small subunit ribosomal RNA", at positions 28 to 526 of the family's 1533-position model. The record is from RNAcentral.
GACGAACGCUGGCGGCGUGCUUAACACAUGCAAGUCGAACGAUGAAGCCUUCGGGUGGAUUAGUGGCGAACGGGUGAGUAACACGUGGGCAAUCUGCCCUGUACUUUGGGAUAAGCCUGGGAAACUGGGUCUAAUACCGGAUAUCACCUUCCCUCGCAUGGGGGUUGGUUGAAAGUUCUGGCGGUACAGGAUGAGCCCGCGGCCUAUCAGCUUGUUGGUGGGGUAAUGGCCUACCAAGGCGACGACGGGUAGCCGGCCUGAGAGGGUGACCGGCCACACUGGGACUGAGACACGGCCCAGACUCCUACGGGAGGCAGCAGUGGGGAAUAUUGCACAAUGGGCGAAAGCCUGAUGCAGCGACGCCGCGUGAGGGAUGACGGCCUUCGGGUUGUAAACCUCUUUCGCCAGGGACGAAGCGCAAGUGACGGUACCUGGAUAAGAAGCACCGGCUAACUACGUGCCAGCCGCCGCGGUAACAC